Molecule: unclassified non-coding RNA, 171 nt
Filed under: uncultured Sordariomycetes
Lineage: Eukaryota; Fungi; Ascomycota; Sordariomycetes
Description: sequence contains ITS2
Source: RNAcentral
CAACCCUCAAGCCCUGGUUGCUUGGUGUUGGGCCCCUGCGGGCCUUGUCCCGCAGGCCCCGAAAGUCAGUGGCGGGCGCGCCGCGACCCCGAGCGUAGUAGUUUACUUUCUCGCUUAGGGCGUCCGGUGCUGUUCUCUAGCCGUAAAACAGCUCUUCGGAGAUUAUUACAA